GGCGUAGCCCUGUGUACAGUGUAUUUUGGCAUUUCUCUCCGAAAAAUGACUUGUUUAUUGGAAUAAAACGUCUCAUUUGUAAACUUUUUCUGUUUUUCUCUGCAAUUGACUAUUAAAAAAUAAUCUAUCUACUGUGUAUUUGGAAAAUUUUUUGAAAAUAGGAGAAUUGGCAAUUCUUACCUUUCAUACCUACACUUUCAUUGAUAAAACAUAACAUGGACUCAUCCAGUGUCCAGUUUGAAGGUCAUUUUAGUUACUGUCACAUUCAUGCACGUUCUGAUUUAAUAAAUAGUCAUGUAUGUAAAG
This 306-nucleotide long non-coding RNA is filed under the name Mytilus galloprovincialis (Mediterranean mussel). Lineage: Eukaryota; Metazoa; Mollusca; Bivalvia; Mytilida; Mytilidae. The record is from RNAcentral.